Molecule: long non-coding RNA, 594 nt
Organism: Lutra lutra (Eurasian river otter)
Lineage: Eukaryota; Metazoa; Chordata; Mammalia; Carnivora; Mustelidae
Exons: 4
Source: RefSeq, a predicted model, not a curated record
CAUUUCUUUCCUUCUGCAGAUGAAAAACGAAAUCUCACAGAGCAGUAAACCAGAUGUACAGAGGAGACAGCUAUGGACCUACUGAGAACUAUGGAGAACUUUAAAAAGAGCUGAAGAGGGAGGAAAUGUGCGGAACAGAAAAUUAAAUGGGCCUCAGGUCAUGAACACACCUGCAGCAUCCCUCUCUGUAUUGCUUCCCUGAGAAGACUGUGGGGCUGAAGCCCAAGUUUUAGAGAACCAUGUAGAUCCUUCACCUGGAGAGAAAGUGCACGGAUAUAUGGGCUCACAGAUAAAUGGUUCUGGCCCAUACACCCUCUGGAAGUCACAGGCGUCAGCUGAAAGCCUACAGAUCUCGUCAAAACGAAAUGGGAAACUCCUGACUCUGACAUGGCCUUGGAGAGCGACUGCAUAAAGAUGGCCCCAUCUGAGUGUAAGUGCCCUUGGAGACAUGGAAAAAGCCUCCUUCCCGUAGCUCUGAUGCAUGACAAAUAAGCCAGAUGAAACUCUGGUAUAUGAGUGAUGUUAACAUAUUACUAAUUCCUAAUUUUUAGUGCAGUCCAGUAUUACUUGGAAAAGUGUUUUUUGAGGAAACAA